GCCUAGGACGGGGGCGAUGGUCCUUCCGAAGGGAAGGUGAAAAGGGAACGCGGUUCCCGGGGGCGGCUUCGCCCCUGCAAUCCGCGGCUGCCCCCGCAACUGUGUGCGGAGAGCGCCUGGCCGACACGCCACUGGGGUCGCCCCCGGGAAGGCCGGUCGGGCGCGUUCGAUCCGCGAGCCAGGAGACCUGCCAUCGCCAGCGGAUCGUG
This 209-nucleotide non-coding RNA is filed under the name Teichococcus deserti. The record is from RNAcentral. Lineage: Bacteria; Pseudomonadati; Pseudomonadota; Alphaproteobacteria; Acetobacterales; Roseomonadaceae. RNAcentral also lists the same sequence under 1 other name.